AACAAAAAAAAAAAAAAAAAAAAAAAAAAAAAAAAAGCUCUUCCUCUAAGAACCAAGAAAAUGCAGCAGCCCUUCACUCCUUCACUCCAUUGACGCCACUCUAGCUCCACCUUCAACCAUCUUCUUGGUCCAUUUUGCAUCGUAGUUGUCUGUUUGAAAACCCAAUAAAACCAAGCUAGAAAACUCCAUGAAAAUACUUUUGCCUUGACUCCAAAUGUAGCUGAAAAACAGUCUCAGAAACGCAGCCAUAACAGCACCCGAAAACAAGCAAACACGCUGCUAGUUCGCCUCUCGAAACAGCUACGAAAUCAACAAUAAACCAUCACAAAUUUCAGCUCAAAUCUCACCCCAAAAUUGCAGCAAAACCAGCUGCGAAAACAGACAAGAGGAGCAGCGAAAAUCAGCUGCAAAACAGCAAAAAAUGCUGCCAAAAAUAACCCGAAACAACAGCUCCAAACACUAAAACACAAGAGUUUCAGUCGAGGUUCGAAGCUCCGUGGCGGUCCUGUUCGUUUUUGGGUCUUAAAGUUGUCAAACAACCAAGGUUCAAAUUCAUUUUUUCAAGGUUAGAUUCUUACUCUUGUCUUCUUUCCAAAUUUUGUGUAGUAAAUUUUGAUGAAAUGAAGUUAUAUGGUACAUGAAUGUUUCUGUCCUCUCUAUGAGGCUGUUAAGCUGGAUAUCAGUUCUGCAGUGUGUUUGUUAUGAAUAUCCAUACCUUUUCUUAUUUGAGUAUAAAACAGAGUACUGGAAAUAGUUGUUAAGAUUUCUGCUCGUUGAUGAAUUAAUUCAUUUACUUAAUUUCUGAAAUCCGUCGCGAUUCCUUGCUUAAGGUUGGUUCGAUCGAGUUCUCUUUGGUGUUAAGGCAGUAACUAUGUCCCAAAAUACUCUUUGUCGAUUUGCCAUUUCUAUUGUCGUGUAGUGCCGAAGUCAUGACUCCACUGUAUUAGAAUCUAUAGACAUCUUUGGUGGAAGUUUUUGAGCAGUUUAGUUUGUCUCCUCCCUUUCUGAUUAGCAUACGGACUGAAACGCGUAAAAAUAAUUUGGAACCUCGUUCCUACCAUGCCCGAGAUAAUUAUUGUUACUCUUUAACUAAGAAUAUUAGUAUAAUAUCUGUGAUUAAUGUUGUUUUAAACAUGUGUUCUUCUCUGUUAAAGUUCAAGUGUUAAUAAGCUGGGGCGGACCCACAUGUGUUCUUCGCAAAAAAAUUCAUUAUUUUAUGUGGAAAAUAUUUUCUUAAACAACACAAUAUCGGAUAAGUAUAUUAAGUUGAACCUGUUUGACAGAAACAAUAGUUGGUCGAGUUGGUUUAAGCGGGUUCAGGAAGUAGGUGAGGUGUCGAGUUGGUUCCUGCUCUUUAUUUUUCCAAAAGCAUGUUAUAAUUCAUUUGAACUGUUUUGCUUACCUCCUCAUUGUAGCCCCUCACUGUUUUUUUUUUCUUAAUUAUUAUUUAAUUUAGCUAAUUUUCAUAGUUUCAAAUUCUGAUACUAUUAAAAUUAUAACUCUAUUUUAGUUUAUAUUUUUAUUCUAUUGUUAUUAUUUUUUCAUAAAUUGUUUAUUAUAAUGAAUAUUUCAGCAGUUGUUAAUCUGUUAGAUUUAAUCAAUAAAUAGAGUUGUUGUUUUGGUAUAGAUUGAAUUGAUUUGGUAACGUAAUAUUCAAAAAAAGUUCAAUAAAUUGUUAAAUUUGAAAAAGUAAAUAGAUAUGUUGUUCACUUUUAUUAUUUUCAUUUUUUUAAGAGCUCAAUAGAAAAAUGAGGUCUUGAAUAGAGCCAUCAAUAUGGGCUUGGCUCGUUGGGCCAGCCCAGCCCGUGAUUUAGCAGGGGUGGACUAGAAUUUUUAGAGCCUGUUUAAAAAUGAGGCUUUUAAGCCCGGCCCGAGUAAGCCCGUGGCCCGUGAGGCUUGACUGAGGCUGGGCCGGGCCGGCCCGUGGGCCUAAUAAAAUAUUUAUUUAAAAUAUAUAAAAAAUAAAAAGUAUACUGCCUUAUAGAGAUGGAAAGUCAGAAUUGGAUCUUUACUAAGAGGAACCAAAACUUGAUCUUGAGAAGUUUCAAGAGAUGAUGUUGUCAUAUAUUGGAAGGACCAUUCUAGAAAAUAUCCCAAUCUUUCAAUGAUGGUACGUGAUGUACUUAGCAUUCUUAUUACCAUUGUACCAUCGGAAUCAACAUUUAGCAUUGGUGGCGUGUUCUUACAAAGUACAGAAGUUGCAUUUAUUAUGAAAAUGUCCAAACACUUGUUACUAUUCGAAAUUGGUUGCACAAGUUUUUCCGAACUCAAACUGGUAAUAAUUUUUAUGUGAAAUUAAAUAUUAUUAAUUUUUAAAAUUUAAUUAUUUUUAAUAUUUAACUAAUUAAUAUUGCAUAUGAAUUGUAGAUGAAAGUGAAGAUGUUAAUUAAGACAACCUUGUCACAAGCGGAUUCAAAUGUGUUUGAUGAAGAUGAUGUGUUGGAUAUAUCAUAAGCAUCAUGAACGUUCUCUUGAAUAGGUUGUUUUAAGUUUUGACUUUUAGUGAAUGAAAUAUAGUACCGUCUUUUACUUUUUUUAGUAUUUAUUGUGAUAUAUUGGAACAAUAUAAAAAGUUAUUAAAUUUUGCGAAUUUUUUCCAAUAAGAUAUUUUUUAACUUUUAAAUAAUUAUCUUUUUCUAGGUCAGAACUUAAAGAAAAAAUAUACAAUUAUAUUUUUAAAAAUGAUGGGCCGGCCCGUGGGGGCCCGCAACCCACAUAGGACUGGGGUGGGCUGACCAUUAUAAGGCCCAUCAAAAUGGUGGGCUAGCCUAGCCCAGCCCGUCAAUUGCUAAAGCUCACGUGGGCUGGGCUGGGCUAGCCCGGCCCCACCCAUAUUGACAGCUCUAGUCUUGAAGUAAAAUAAAGAGCAAAAGGAAAGACUGUUGUUAUGCCUUUGUUGCUUUUACUGUCAAAUAAUGACGAUGACUUUACUUUCUGCCUGAACCCACGUGCACAAAAUCCUGGAUCCGCCACUGUUAAUGAGUUGAUUUGUGAGAACAGUAAUUGAGUGAAUGCUUCAUACCUUAAACAAUUUUGUCCCUGUUGGAUAUCUUUCAUAUUGAAACUAAAAUUGUGCAAGCCUUUGAGAGUUCAUCAUGCUUCAGUCUUCUUGCUACUGUAACCAUACACUUCCAUUAUCUAGAUAUGUUAACAUGCUAUUUGAGGUAUUUUGUUGUUCACUGUUUUGCUGAGAUUGUUGUGGUACAUACUGAUGCGAGUUAAGUCGUGCAAUUAAAGUUUUGGAGAAGAACAUCUGAGUGCAAUUGGUAGGAAUUGAAUGUUCAUUAGGUUCUGGGAACACUGAUUAUUGUUUGUGUGCUUCUUUCGUGUAAUUUAUAUUCGGACGAAUUUUUAAUAACUAAAGUGAAUUUGAAUUCUGUUUCCAAUGCCUUACUAAAGGAUAAAGGCUUUAAGGCUUUAGGAUUAAAAAUAUAGUGAUAGAAAAUUAAGUUAACAAAGUCAAGCAGAUUGAUUGAUUGUUCGGAUAUUCUCGUGAACUAAAGGACCAGAGCCAAUAAGCUUUUGAAUUGGAUUGAACGCAUGAAAAUCCUUAAUCAUAUGAGCAAAUCAAAUAAUGACUCCAACUUUUCUUCUACCAUAUCGCACGAUUUUCAUGAAUCUCAAAUGAGUUUAGGAGAACAAUUCAUAAGCAUCGCAGCUUGUUUUAGGUGCAUUAAUUAAAUAAAUUAUCGCAACUAUGGGUACGGUUCCCGUGGCAUAUUCACGAUACAUAAAUCUCAAUUUGGGUGUGCAUUUCAUGUGACCCGACCAUAACUUCAAAUAAUAAUAAAAUAAACAUGCUGUAGAUCGUGGGUACGGUUCCCGUGACACGAUUCGCAAUGUGUACAAAAACAAACAAGUACGUGACAUCGCGACUUGUUCAAACAAAUUCCAUAAAUAUUAAAAGCGGUUAAAAGGAAUGAUAUACACAUAGGUUUUGAAUAUUUAAUAAAUAACAUAAUUAUGCCAAUUAUUAAUAGUUAAGAGACCGUGCUAAAACCAUGGAACCCGAGAGUGCCUCACACCUUCUCUCGGGUUAACAGAAUUCCUUAUCCGGUCUUCUGUGUUCGCAGACCAUAAAUAAGAGUCAAUUUUCUCGAUUUGGGAUCUAAAAUAAACCGGUGACUUAGGACACCAUAAUUAUUCCAAGUGGCGAUACUGAAAUUAAAUAAAUAAUCCUAUUUCAAUUAUUGUCACUUUAAUUGGAAAAACUCUCUACCCCUCGAAAAAAAGGAGGUGUGACAUAUUAUGGUGAGGAUGAGAGUAAAAACAGGAAGGGUGAUGUCGUGCACUUGUUUUUGCCAUGUUUAAUAUUUCCAUUGGUGCAAAGCAUGUUGUUUGUUGUGUCUCUUUACUGUUACCAUUUUCAUGAUCUUGUACUCCCCUCAGCAUAUUUCCCCCCUCCCAUUAUUAUCUGUUUAGCUGCUAUUAGUUGUUAUUGCUUGUAUAUUGUCUAACUGCACUGGUUUAUGUUGUUGUCUUGUCCUAGCCUCGUCACUACUUCGCUGGGGUUAGGCUCGAAACUUACCAAUACAAGGGGUCGAUUGUACUGAUACUGCACUCUGCACUUUCUGUGCAGAUUUCGGUAUUGGUCCGAGCUGAUCUUGUGUUUAGCUGCUGGCUUCAUCUGAUCGAAGACCCAAGGUAGACUUGUUGGCGUCCGCAAGCCCUGACGUCCCCUUCCAUACAUUCACUUUACUGUUUCUUUUGUAUCGAAAACAGUCAUAUUUCCUUCAGAAAUUUGUUGUAGUUAAAUAUUAGAGUUCGUGGAUUGUUACUCCAGAUUCUGGGUAGCUUUAUAUAUUGAGA
RNAcentral lists this long non-coding RNA (4809 nucleotides) under Nicotiana tabacum (common tobacco). RNAcentral's name for it is "long non-coding RNA (NTAB_LNC002942)". The record is from RNAcentral. Lineage: Eukaryota; Viridiplantae; Streptophyta; Magnoliopsida; Solanales; Solanaceae.